AAUACCCGAACGGGACUGAAAUCUUUAAAUCCGAAAACCCGAAACCCGAUUAGAUCCGAACCAAACCCGAAUGGGUAUCCGAACGCCCACCCCUAGAUUUGUUUGCAAAUGUCAUAUAGGAUCUGUGGAGAUGCAUAAAUCAAAACCAAAGUUUUUAAAUGAAUCGGAUUCAUUAGGUCUAAAUACGAAACUAGAACUUGGAUAUCCAUUUUUAUUAUCUUAUAUAAAUGGUAGUAUAUAUUUUUAAAACUGGGUGAUUCAUCCGCGCCCUACGCAGGUAUGAAUGUUUACUAAGAAACUGAUGUACAAUUUUUGAGUAUUUUUUAUUAAUAUUUUUAUUUGUUUGUGUAUUUUUAUUUUAUUUUAAUUACAGUUUUUAUUUAUGAGUUAUUUUACUGCGGUCGUGUUUUAAAUUUUCAAAAUAUUAAAUUUGGCCAUAAUAUUUAUGUUUAUAAUUAUAUUGUGGUUUAAAUUUGGUAUAGUAAUAAUUUUCGUUUAUGUUACUAUUUAUGUUUGUAAUAUCAUAUUUUGACUAAUCUGUUUAAUUAUUUGCUUUUCUCUAAUUUUAGUUAAACCUACAAAUCAUUUAAUCUAUCUAUUAAUAUAAAGAAGACCCCAACUCUCUUCUCCUCUUGCCACGUAAGAAAAUAAGGCGAGGAGACGCCGACACGUGUCGUCUAUUUCAAUAUGGUCCGUAUACUUUUUUUUUGUACGGGCUUUUGAUUCGUUGGCAUGAUACUUCCUUCUGUCAAGCCCAUUCUGUGCUGUAUCAAUUUGGUAUUGAUGAACCGCCGCGUUUACUUUAGUGAAUCAGCGAUACGAAUGGGCUAUGAUUUAUGUGGGCUUUUGGCUUGGCAAAAGAAAUCCAGCUCGAUAACAAACAACCCUAACUCUCUAUUUACGCUUCGGAGUGAAAGAAAAAAUAGGGUUCAUGUCUCUCUUUGUUUUCAGCCGUUGGAGAUAUUGAGCUGAUUAAGUUAAGGUGAUGGAUCUGUUCGUAGGGUUUCGAUUGUGUCGUCUGAUCUUCUAUCACAUUUGCUGAAAAGCUCCCAGUUACAGAUUCAUCGCAUUAAACCUUUUCUUAACUCAAUCAACUACGAUUUGGCUUUGAAUGUGAGAUUCUCUUCUGCAAGGCAUGCGAGUAUAAAUAGGUUAUCUUAUCUCCUCUCAAAACCAUCUUCUCAAUCUUUCUAAGUAGCGAAGUAAGCUCAUUUUCCUAGCAAUGGCUAACUCCAAAGUUUUUCUCUCUAAUUUGAAGUCUGGUAGAUGUUCUUUUACUGUUGAGGUUAGAUUGCUGCAUUUCUGAGAGGCAGGCGCGUUGAAAAAUUCAUGUGGCUUGAUGUGCUCAUAGUAGAUGCCAAUGAUGAGAGUGAAGAUACAAGGACCUGCGUUUGCAGUUCAUGUUUCAAGACCAGCUGAAGUUGAACAUACAAGGAAGGAUCUUCCUAUAAUUAUGAUGGAGCAGGAGAUCAUGGAGGCUAUUAAUUAUCCCGCAACAGUUAUUAUUUCUUGAACCACUCAAGUUCCUCAGUUACUUUAUGAAGCUGGUUUUAGUUCAAAGCGAUUCAGUUCUCGAAGUUGGGUUAUCGGUAUUACACAGCCACGUUGUGUGGCUGUCCUCGCCACUGCCACGAGGGUGGCGCAUGAGCUUGGUGUUCGUCUCCGUCGAUUUGUUGUUUUUCAAGUUAGGCACGACAAAAAGAUUGGCAAGAACUCAGCUAUCAAGUUUAUGACCGCUGGAAUUCUACUCCGUGAGAUUAAGAAUGAUCUCUUACUGAGGUGUUACUCGGUGAUCAUUCUCGAUGAAGCUCAUGAAAGAAGCUUGAACACAGGCUUUCUACUUUGGAUGCUCACUCGAACCAACAACAUCCGACAGGAAGUCUACAAGGAUCAACAGAAGUUCUACAAUCUGGAGGCACAAUGGCAUCAGAAAACGAAAUCAUCUCGCCGCUUUUAACUUAUAUUGAAGUGUACAAUUUUACGAGUAGAAGAUUUUGUAUCUGGAAAAGGUUGUUUCCCUAAGCCACUUCUGGUAAUACAAGUUCCCACUCAACAAUACUAUGUAACUAUACAUUUCUCCAUGAGGACUGACGAGGUUAGUUUUA
Long non-coding RNA from Brassica napus (rape), 2105 nucleotides. RefSeq lists it as uncharacterized. NCBI's taxonomy places the organism in Eukaryota, Viridiplantae, Streptophyta, Magnoliopsida, Brassicales, Brassicaceae. The record is from RefSeq and is a predicted model, not a curated record. The transcript has 4 exons.